UUCUACAAGUCCGACGAUUGGUGCACUAAUGGAAAGAGUAGAUAUUGACAUUGCUGGCCCAUUGCCCCAAACUCAUGCUGGAAACAAGUACAUUUGUGUGGUGAUGGAUUAUUUCACCAGGUGGCCUGAGGCAUAUGCAAUACCAAAU
Molecule: long non-coding RNA, 148 nt
Organism: Limulus polyphemus (Atlantic horseshoe crab)
Lineage: Eukaryota; Metazoa; Arthropoda; Merostomata; Xiphosura; Limulidae
Exons: 3
Source: RefSeq, a predicted model, not a curated record